Molecule: ribosomal RNA, 72 nt
Filed under: Sematophyllum wageri
Lineage: Eukaryota; Viridiplantae; Streptophyta; Bryopsida; Hypnales; Sematophyllaceae
Description: partial 26S ribosomal RNA
Rfam family: Eukaryotic large subunit ribosomal RNA
Source: RNAcentral
GACCUCUAAUCAGAAAAGACUACCCGCUGAGUUUAAGCAUAUCACUAAGCGGAGGAGAAGAAACGAACCAGG